CGGACGGGUGAGUAAUGUCUGGGAAACUGCCUGAUGGAGGGAGAUAACUACUGGAAACGGUAGCUAAUACCGCAUAACGUCGCAAGACCAAAGAGGGGGACCUUCGGGCCUCUUGCCAUCGGAUGUGCCCAGAUGGGAUUAGCUAGUAGGUGGGGUAACGGCUCACCUAGGCGACGAUCCCUAGCUGGUCUGAGAGGAUGACCAGCCACACUGGAACUGAGACACGGUCCAG
RNAcentral lists this ribosomal RNA (232 nucleotides) under uncultured bacterium. Its description in RNAcentral is "partial 16S ribosomal RNA". It matches the Rfam family "Bacterial small subunit ribosomal RNA", at positions 99 to 334 of the family's 1533-position model. The record is from RNAcentral.